AUACUUACCUAGCAGGCUCCCCUGCUAAGAUGAUCAUGAAGGUUUUCCCAGGGUGUGUCUUGUCUAUUGCACUCAGGAUGUGCUGACCCCUGUGAUUUUCCCAAAGGUGGGAAGAACAACUACAUGAUUUGUGAUAGUGGGGGACUGUGAUAGUGUUCUCCCCUG
Suncus etruscus (white-toothed pygmy shrew) is the source of this 165-nucleotide small nuclear RNA. RefSeq annotates it as U1 spliceosomal RNA. The transcript has a single exon. Lineage: Eukaryota; Metazoa; Chordata; Mammalia; Eulipotyphla; Soricidae. The record is from RefSeq and is a predicted model, not a curated record.